CGAACGGGUGAGUAACGCGUGAGGAACCUGCCUCAAAGAGGGGGACAACAGUUGGAAACGACUGCUAAUACCGCAUAAGCCCACGGGUCGGCAUCGACCUGAGGGAAAAGGAGCAAUCCGCUUUGAGAUGGCCUCGCGUCCGAUUAGCUAGUUGGUGAGGUAAUGGCCCACCAAGGCGACGAUCGGUAGCCGGACUGAGAGGUUGAACGGCCACAUUGGGGCUGAGACACGGCCCAG
RNAcentral lists this ribosomal RNA (237 nucleotides) under uncultured bacterium. Its description in RNAcentral is "partial 16S ribosomal RNA". It matches the Rfam family "Bacterial small subunit ribosomal RNA", at positions 99 to 334 of the family's 1533-position model. The record is from RNAcentral.